GAUGAAGAACGCAGCGAAAUGCGAUAAGUAGUGUGAAUUGCAGAAUUCAGUGAAUCAUCGAAUCUUUGAACGCACAUUGCGCCUCCUGGUAUUCCGGGAGGCAUGCCUGUUCGAGCGUCAUUAAAAUCACUCAAGCUUAGGUUUACCUAUUGCUUGGUCUUGGAGAUGGAAGCCAAUUUAUUGGAAUCCUCUUCGAAAUUCAAUGGCGAAGACCCUUGCUCUCCCAAGUGUAGUAAUAACUUAUGUCACUGAAGGAAGCGAGAAAUCUUCUGCCGUAACCCCCAUAUUUUCUAUGAUUGACCUCGGAUCAGGUAGGGAUACCCGCUGAACUUAAGCAUAUCAAUAAGCGGGA
Molecule: unclassified non-coding RNA, 352 nt
Filed under: soil metagenome
Description: partial contains 5.8S ribosomal RNA, internal transcribed spacer 2, and large subunit ribosomal RNA
Rfam family: 5.8S ribosomal RNA (bases 1-120)
Source: RNAcentral